GUGGGGAAUAUUGGACAAUGGGCGAAAGCCUGAUCCAGCCAUGCCGCGUGUGUGAAGAAGGUCUUCGGAUUGUAAAGCACUUUAAGUUGGGAGGAAGGGCAGUAAGUUAAUACCUUGCUGUUUUGACGUUACCAACAGAAUAAGCACCGGCUAACUUCGUGCCAGCAGCCGCGGUAAUACGAAGGGUGCAAGCGUUAAUCGGCAUUACUGGGCGUAACGCGCGCGUAGGUGGUUCAGCAAGUUGAAGGUGAAAUCCCCGGGCUCAACCUGGGAACUGCCUCCAAAACUGCAUGACUAGAGUACGGUAGAGGGUAGUGGAAUUUCCUGUGUAGCGGUGACAUGCGUAGAUAUAGGAAGGAACACCAGUGGCGAAGGCGACUACCUGGACUGAUACUGACACUGAGGUGCGAAAGCGUGGGGAGCAAACAGGAUUAGAUACCCGAGUAGUCC
RNAcentral lists this ribosomal RNA (450 nucleotides) under uncultured bacterium. RNAcentral's name for it is "partial 16S ribosomal RNA". It matches the Rfam family "Bacterial small subunit ribosomal RNA", at positions 354 to 796 of the family's 1533-position model. The record is from RNAcentral.